Molecule: ribosomal RNA, 248 nt
Filed under: uncultured bacterium
Lineage: Bacteria
Description: partial 16S ribosomal RNA
Rfam family: Bacterial small subunit ribosomal RNA
Source: RNAcentral
AAAGUGGCGCACGGGUGAGUAACGCGUGGGUAACGUACCCUUUGGUGGGGGAUAACCUGGGGAAACUCGGGCUAAUACCGCAUAAGCUCUUUAGAGGUUCGCCGAAGAAGAGGAAAAAGGUGCAAAUUUUGCCGAAGGAUCGGCCCGCGUCCCAUCAGCUUGUUGGAGAGGUAACGGCUCACCAAGGCUACGACGGGUAGCUGGUCUGAGAGGAUGAUCAACCACACUGGAACUGAGACACGGUCCAG